Molecule: long non-coding RNA, 2918 nt
Organism: Neogobius melanostomus (round goby)
Lineage: Eukaryota; Metazoa; Chordata; Actinopteri; Gobiiformes; Gobiidae
Source: Ensembl
GCGAAAGAACGUGGAGUCUCCUCGCGUCACCAGCACGUCUGGCGGCAGUUGUGACCGAAACAUCUUCCACUCUUCCUCUUCGUCUUCCACCUCGUCUUCCCAUCUCCCACACCUCUCCUCCACCCUGCCCCACGCGUCUUCCACUCACCCACAGACGGCCACCCACUACUCCACCUCUUCUCUCCCACACAAGCACACCUCCCUGGGCCAGCAUUCCUCCCCGUCGCUCCCGCGCUCCCCUCGGUCACGCUCCUCCUGCAUCCCAGCCACGCCAGCGCCCACAGCCCCCUUCCUGUGUGCCCCUCAUCACAGACGGGCAUCCGCUACGUGUCGCCCUCAUGCCACGUGCCGCACUUACAAUCAAUCAGGGGUCCAUAUCUGGAGCCGAGAGGGACAGAGGGGCUAAAACAGGAGUGGUACACCAAAUACUUCUCCUUCUGAGCACAAAUGCACACAAAACGUAGCUGCAAUUGACAUUUAUUCAUGCUUCUUGUAAACCAUUUGCUUCCUACAUCCAGAUGAAAGCCUCUGUAACAUUCAGACAAGCACAGACUGAUAUUCCAACAUCAUCACCAGCAAGGCCAUCUCCGACAUUGCCUCAAGCUCAACCAAAAAGUGCUUCUCCAACACAUGCCUGACCUCUUAUAUCAUGGGCCUGUCGGAUCUUUGUAUAGUUUGAAAUGUCUGUUUUUUUAAGUCUUCCUUUUUAAAUGGCUGAUUUCUUCAUAAAAAUCCUAGCAAUGUUUUUACUCUCAUUUAUAGACUAUUCAUAACAUACUCAAUCAAGAUCCUUGUUAACGAAACACGCAACUUACCAUACCAAAACAAAGCUUGUUUUGAUGCAAAAUGUAUAAUAAUCUUGAUGUACUAAUGAAUAAAAUAUUUUGUUUUUCUAUGCAGUUUCUAUCCUGUUUGUAAAGGCAUUACAAUCACAACUCUUCUUUGUUCCCUUCACCUACUUCCAUCCGAGUAUGUGUACAUGCCAGACCUUAUAUGAAAACUCAACCUCUCACUGGACUUCAGUACGUACGUCCUAAUGAUGUCUUAAUCUCAGAUAGAGCUGGGAGAUCCAGUGUGUCUGAAAGAGCAGACAUGUUCGAUCUGAUCAGUUAUUAGGUCCAAAAACAUCUUUAGACUGAGUCCUUUCAAUUGACCAACAUCACACACCACUCAUUGACACCAUUAUGAGAUAAUAAUUGGACCUUGUGUAAUAUGUGGGAACAAAAGAUACAUUGAACUUUGUGCCCGUUUCUAGAUAGAUAUUACCCUUAAACAAUAUUGAAACAUUUUAAUUAGACAGUUAUCAUAGUUACAAUGGAAUUUAAGAUGCCCCACACCUCCACAUACAUUUUUAAGGCUAUACAUACAUUUGCUUUCUCAUAAAUAAAAAAUAUUUAUUGAAAAGUUUCACUGUCUACAUUUACAUGCCGACCAAAAAUCUGAUCAUGAUCCGAUUUCUGGAGUUAACACGGAAAAAAUCAGCACAACCAAAAAGCUCCCGGGGAAAAUUAUUUAUUGGUCUCCAGAAGUGAUGUUUCGGGCAUAUCCCUUCAGCAGACACAGUAGCAGGAAUCUAAUUACUAAAAAUAUUAAAAAGGAAAAAUUAUCAUACCAAAAAAAGGUCUUUGCUGUAGAGCAGGACUCAACCUUUUAGAGCUGAGGGCUACUUUACAAAAAUAAUAUCCCCGGACUGCUCGGGAAGAACAUCACUCUGUUCACUCCCCAACACAGGCCGCGUUACUGAAACAGAGGGCUGUUCUGGAGCACCUCUGCGGCUGAACGGAACUGGAGGACGUUGUCAUAGAAACUGGUUAGCUCGCCUCGCAUGUCCUUGUUCCAUCUGCCUCCCGAUGCACGGUACUUCAUGUCCAGCAGCUUGGAGCACAGGUAGUGCAGCCACAGUACAUUUGAAUGGGGAUUGUAGUCACUCCAGUCAUUUCUAUUCAAAGCAAAAGACAGUGAAAAAGUAACUACAAUGUGGAACUAAUACAGAUACAAAUGAAAAUGAAGCACCAACCCAUUCUCUUGUCUCAUAAGUCUGUAGAUCUCAAACUGGUAAUCCCCCUGCCCCAUAAAAAGCUCCUCAUCAUGGGAAAUAUCGCAGGAAACCGUGAGUUCAUCUAAAAACAAACAAAAUUCAAAUUGAUAUUUUGAUAUGAUAAAACAGUUGUAAAAAGUGCAGCCGAAGUUUCACACCAAUUUCCAAUCUGGAAAGAGAGUAAUCAAUGAUGCGGACAAGCACCCCUUUUGUUUCCAGGGACAGCACUGUCCCAUUCAGACUGAACUUGGCAGUCUUCUGCUUGGUCAUUUUGACCAACACAUUACCCCAGUGGAGGUCCCUGAGGAAGACAACACAAGGGUAAACUGUAGAAAUCUAACGCAGAGUUGGCACAGCCGUUGUUUAGUUGUAUGCACUACAUUAUACUAAAUGAGAUGAGUGGCUUGUAAUAAGACUCACUCUAUGCAUUAUUUUUUACCUGUGCUCAAAGUGGAGCUGUUGUUCAGCUACAGCCAAUGCCGCAGUGACUUGAUGAAGAAUGCUUUUAGCAACAAUGAUUGAAGGCAACUAAAAAGAUAUAAAAAAGAUAAAUUGGGCAUAGAUUGAGUGUGAAGUUUAUUUUGCUUAAGUGGUUGUCAUUACUCUUAUAGUCUAGUAAAAAAAUCUGAAAAAGGGCUCCGUUAACACUUUUGUGGUUCCGGAAUGUUAGAGGUUGGCAACCUUGUUUUUAUUUUAAUAUAAGAUGUUGGGAACAUAUUUCAUGAAUAUGCCACUCGCGUAUCGCGUUCGUCUGUUUUUUAUUGAAGAAAUAAGAAGAGAAUGUUUACCAAAAGUCGUUCAUCAGAACACCCUAAAAGCUGAUGAUACUUGUGACUAGAAAUAAGUUCUAUAUUUCAUGUAUUAAUUAAGAAUAAUCCUU